GUGUCUCUAUCAGAGUUUGAUCCUGGCUCAGGAUGAACGCUAGCUACAGGCUUAACACAUGCAAGUCGAGGGGCAGCAUGGGCUUAGCUUGCUAAGCCCGACUGGCGACCGGCGCACGGGUGAGUAACACGUAUCCAACCUGCCGAUCACUCCGGUACAGCCUUUCGAAAGAAAGAUUAAUACCCGAUGUUGCGUAUCUUUCUCCUGAAAGAUACGCCAAAGGAUUCCGGUAACCGAUGGGGAUGCGUUCCAUUAGGCAGUUGGCGGGGUAACGGCCCACCAAACCUUCGAUGGAUAGGGGUUCUGAGAGGAAGGUCCCCCACAUUGGAACUGAGACACGGUCCAA
RNAcentral lists this ribosomal RNA (346 nucleotides) under uncultured bacterium. RNAcentral's name for it is "bacterial SSU rRNA". It matches the Rfam family "Bacterial small subunit ribosomal RNA", at positions 1 to 334 of the family's 1533-position model. The record is from RNAcentral.